AGGAUCUCGUUGGCUCCCCCUCUAAUCGCACACCGGUUUAAACACCAAGUGCCAGAUUUGUAGCAAAAAUGCUAAAACGACGCAGCCGAGGACUGUACCAUUCGCAGAGAGGGGGGUUCAUUUAAUAAACAGCUCUUUGCAGCGUAGAGCGUAUAGAAGCGGGUUUACGCACGAGUUAACCAGACAGAGCGUGCUACAGAAAGCGAACAUUCGCUGUUGUUUAUUCGUAAGGGUCACUGUGACAUCCACCAUCAUAAAGGACAGGACAGGCAGCCAACAAACAGCAAGGAUUAGGAGGAUCAGACUGAAGGAUGAGAACAUAAGCCACUAUGAUAAGAAAGAGCACCACAAGCUGUAGGCCCGUCCAGAAAGCCAGGUAGUGAUGAUCCACAUAAGGGAAGAGAUGGGAGCAAGGAGGAUCAAACUUAGUGGUGCACCUCCAACCCAUCAGA
This is a long non-coding RNA of Cyprinus carpio (common carp), 452 nucleotides long. RefSeq lists it as uncharacterized. The transcript has 3 exons. The record is from RefSeq and is a predicted model, not a curated record. Lineage: Eukaryota; Metazoa; Chordata; Actinopteri; Cypriniformes; Cyprinidae.